GACGGAGGGAGCUAGCGUUGUUCGGAAUGACUGGGCGUAAAGGGCGCGUAGGCGGUUUUUUAAGUGAGGCGUGAAAGCCCUGGGCUUAACCCAGGAGGUGCGUUUCAUACUGGAAGACUUGAGUGCGAGAGAGGAAAGUGGAAUUCCUAGUGUAGAGGUGAAAUUCGUAGAUAUUAGGAAGAACACCUGUGGCGAAGGCGGCUUUCUGGCUCGCAACUGACGCUGAGGCGCGAAAGCGUGGGGAGCAAACAGGAUUAGAUACCCUGGUAGUCCACGCUGUAAACGAUGUGUGCUAGACGUUGGAGGGAAACCUUCAGUGUCGCAGUUAACGCGUUAAGCACACCGCCUGGGGAGUACGGUCGCAAGAUUAAA
Molecule: ribosomal RNA, 372 nt
Filed under: uncultured bacterium
Lineage: Bacteria
Description: bacterial SSU rRNA
Rfam family: Bacterial small subunit ribosomal RNA
Source: RNAcentral